Long non-coding RNA from Nicotiana attenuata, 774 nucleotides. RefSeq lists it as uncharacterized. Lineage: Eukaryota; Viridiplantae; Streptophyta; Magnoliopsida; Solanales; Solanaceae. The record is from RefSeq and is a predicted model, not a curated record. The transcript is spliced from 3 exons.
CUCUCUCAUUCUCUUCGCAGACCUUUCCCCCAUUUUUAGAAAUCAGUGAGCUUUCACUAAGAUCAUGCAAAAUCGGAAAAGUCUUUAAAAAGACCAAUUACUCAAGAUGAGAUAUUUGAGUAUACACAUAUGAAUAAGCUAAAGCAUGGAAAAAAGAUAAAUUUGAUCGAGCCAAGCCGAGACAAAAUAUAAUACUUUCAAACAAUCCUUGAAGGAGUUCAUUCAUAUCUAACCAAUUGAUGAUCAAGGAACGUCAAUCCAACCAUCCCAGGAGAAUUACAUGGACUUGUGGAUUAAGGCGGCGGGCGGCGUACAUAAGGGAAGAUUUUACGACCUUGGAUCAGAGUUUAGUUCUAGUCGUUGGUCUUUCGUAUCUGGUGGCUCUUCUUCCUCAAGGUCCAUGAUUAAUCAGGAUGAGUUUGAGCUAUUGAAUAGAAAAAUAGCAGAGAUCACUCAGCUGUAUGCACAAAAAAGGGCUGCGCGGGAGGAGGACGCAAAGCGAAGGGAGGAAGAAAUGAGGCGAAAGGAUGCUGCAUUUACACGUGUCACUGGUGAGGUUGAAAGCCUCAAGUCCCAGCUAAACAUUCUCUUUGCAUCUGGUGCACUUCCUCUGCCACGUUCUCCAUCGCGCUCCAACAAGAAUAAGGAUUGUUUCUUUUAUUAAUAUUCUUUUGGGUGGGACUAUGAUGUUGGAUAUUAUGUUUAGUUGCAUUAUUGGUUUCUACUAUUUUCAGUUUUGGUUGGUUGUUAAUUAAUGAAAUGGAUCGGACGAUG